GUUGUGAUUUGCUUUCAUUUUAGUAUCUUUGAAGUAUCGGAAACAUC
This is a non-coding RNA of Tannerella sp. CAG:51, 47 nucleotides long. The record is from Rfam. NCBI's taxonomy places the organism in Bacteria, Pseudomonadati, Bacteroidota, Bacteroidia, Bacteroidales, Tannerellaceae.